UACGUAGGGACCAAGCGUUGUUCGGAUUUACUGGGCGUAAAGGGCGCGUAGGCGGCGCGGUAAGUCACUUGUGAAAUCUCUGAGCUUAACUCAGAACGGCCAAGUGAUACUGCAGUGCUAGAGUGUGGAAGGGGCAAUCGGAAUUCUUGGUGUAGCGGUGAAAUGCGUAGAUAUCAAGAGGAACACCUGAGGUGAAGACGGGUUGCUGGGCCAACACUGACGCUGGAUGCGCGAAAGCUAGGGGAGCGAACGGG
This 254-nucleotide ribosomal RNA is filed under the name uncultured bacterium. RNAcentral's name for it is "partial 16S ribosomal RNA". It matches the Rfam family "Bacterial small subunit ribosomal RNA", at positions 524 to 776 of the family's 1533-position model. The record is from RNAcentral.